This is a long non-coding RNA of Malaclemys terrapin pileata, 1123 nucleotides long. RefSeq lists it as uncharacterized. The transcript is spliced from 2 exons. The record is from RefSeq and is a predicted model, not a curated record. NCBI's taxonomy places the organism in Eukaryota, Metazoa, Chordata, Testudines, Emydidae.
GUGAGUUUUCUGAUAAUUUACUCACAGUAUAGAAUUCCUAAUCAACCAUUUUCUUUCCUACUAGUUUGUUUUAUGUUAGCAAAAAGAUAUACAAAACUACCCUCCUUUUUUACUUCAUUUUUAGGUUUUUCUUUAAAUAUUCAUACUCAAAUUUUGCAAAACUACAGCAAGAUUUGUGAAACUUAACCGAAAUGGAAUCUGUAAGUUUUCAUACCACAACUAAAGCAAAAAGGAAAGAAGCAGCACAAAUGAUUAAGAAAGAAUUUCUCCAACUGCAUCAUCAUAAAACAGGGACAGUUUGAAGGAGAGGAAAUUCAUGAGGGCAUCUGGAGAGAAAAAACCCAAGCAUCAAUGCUUAAUGUAGUAGUAUCUUCUUUGGAUCAAAUUUCCACUACAAAAUGUUACUGUGGCUGAAUUCAGAACAGUCAUGUCAAGUGACACAAUGCUGAACAGGGUUCAUCCUAGUCCACACUGACUUCUAAAUGGUAUUCAGCAUUGUGCUUGUUAAUGCAAUUGCUAGCAAGAGUUCUCAGGCAUAGUAACAUGUAAAACAGGCCUUUUUCUUUGCUUUUUCCUUCUUUGCCUACUUACCUUGGUAGAGAGAAUUUUGGGCAAAUAUACAGACUAUAUGAUUGCAAAGUAAAGCUAUCAGGAUACGGUAUCUGAACAGUGAAUUGAAAAAUCCUCUAAUACAAAGAGGAAGUAAUCUCAGAGAGCUGCACAAGAACCAUCAACUUGUCAUUUGCCCGUCCACAUUGCUCCCAGGCCUGUUCUUACAACACUGCAGAAAUUAUCCAUUACACAAGGCACCCUGUAUCCAAAUGCAUAUGAUUGAGGAUAUUCAGCCAAUUAAGCCAUACGACUGAGAAUAUCCCUAAGUGCUUACCAUAUUACAUAGAAUAGGAGCUAACUAUUUGUAACAGAGAAGUUUCAUUAUGUAACUAUCCCUUUUGCUGCAAGUUUUACUAGUCAGACAAUGGGCUGCAAUAUGGAGUUCUAUAUUUCAAUCACAACUGACAGCAAGAUCUGUGUGCUGGGCCUACUGCCUGCAAUAGGAAGGAUGUUUCCACUUAGAAAUAACCCUCUACAUUUAAAAAAAUAUUAAAUAUUGUUUUAAAGCUGA